This 924-nucleotide ribosomal RNA is filed under the name uncultured Bacteroidota bacterium. RNAcentral's name for it is "bacterial SSU rRNA". It matches the Rfam family "Bacterial small subunit ribosomal RNA", at positions 1 to 917 of the family's 1533-position model. Lineage: Bacteria; Pseudomonadati; Bacteroidota. The record is from RNAcentral.
UGGUCCAGACUUUGAUUCUGGCUCAGGAUGAACGCUAGCUACAGGCUUAACACAUGCAAGUCGAGGGGCAGCAUAUCGGUAGCUUGCUACUGGUGAUGGCGACCGGCGCACGGGUGAGUAACGCGUAUCCAACCUUCCCAUGACUGGGGGAUAACCUUGCGAAAGUAAGACUAAUACCCCAUGGUUUCCGAGGCGGACAUCCAAUUUGGAAUAAAGAUUCAUCGGUCAUGGAUGGGGAUGCGUCUGAUUAGCUUGUUGGCGGGGUAACGGCCCACCAAGGCGACGAUCAGUAGGGGUUCUGAGAGGAAGGUCCCCCACAUUGGAACUGAGACACGGUCCAAACUCCUACGGGAGGCAGCAGUGAGGAAUAUUGGUCAAUGGACGAGAGUCUGAACCAGCCAAGUAGCGUGCAGGAUGACGGCCCUAUGGGUUGUAAACUGCUUUUAUACGGGAAUAAAGUCAAUCACGUGUGAUUGUUUGUAUGUACCGUAUGAAUAAGGACCGGCUAAUUCCGUGCCAGCAGCCGCGGUAAUACGGAAGGUCCGGGCGUUAUCCGGAUUUAUUGGGUUUAAAGGGAGCGUAGGCCGCCGAUUAAGCGUGUUGUGAAAUGCCGCAGCUCAACUGUGGCACUGCAGCGCGAACUGGUUGGCUUGAGUGCGCGGAAGGCAGGCGGAAUUUGUGGUGUAGCGGUGAAAUGCUUAGAUAUCACGAAGAACCCCGAUUGCGAAGGCAGCUUGCCGCAGCGUAACUGACGCUGAAGCUCGAAAGUGCGGGUAUCGAACAGGAUUAGAUACCCUGGUAGUCCGCACGGUAAACGAUGGAUGCCCGCUGUUCCGGCUAUAUGUUGGAGUGGCCAAGCGAAAGCGUUAAGCAUCCCACCUGGGGAGUACGCCGGCAACGGUGCAACUCAAAGGAAUUGACGGA